UCCGGUUCUAAAAGGUGCGAGAAUCUAGGUUUUGGGAAAGCUCACAACUAUUUAUUAGAUUUAUUUAUUCACUACCUUAGUCCUCCGCCGCCGCCGUCUAAAUCCCAAAUUCCAAUUGUAUCACUGAAAUGUUUGAAAACAAACAAUUUACGAGCUCUUCUUUUCUCUGAAAUGUUUCAGAUCUCACUCCUUCAAUUCCACUUGUUCUUAGAUUGUUAGGCGAAAAUCUAGACAUUCUUGGAUCUGGUUUCUUGAUGGAUAAACGCGAAGCAGAUAGCUCUCUUGAGAUAUAUGUUACGAUGUUUUCUUUCCUGUUAAUGUUCGGUACCUCCACUGCGUUGUCCUUCAUUCAAGCUCUUACUAUAGUUGGAAUCCAUGAUCCACUUCUCAAACACAGCUUGGGGGCGAUCAAGUGGGCAUUUGCUGCAUCCUUCUAUAGCAACAUACUUGGCAUGUCCGUAACUCUCAUUCUACAUCCUUGCCGCAAACUCCACCCAUACAAGAAGUUCAGCCUCAUCAUCGGAUGUUUCACUUCAUUUUAUUUCAUGUUACGUGGUAAUGGCCUCUUGUUAUCAUUCAAACUCCAGCAUCCUCGUGCCUUUCAAUGGAGAAGAUUGCAGGAUUUUGAAAGCUAGAAAGGAAUUUGGAACGGUGAGGAGAUAUUCAUGAAUGAGCAUGACAGAAGUACUAAGUACUUUCGUCUGCUAGCUUCCUACAAACAGGAAAAGAAGAAUUCCACUCCUUAAGGGAGGAUUCUGGUGUUUGGAUAGAAGAAGGCAAGGAUCAACUUGAUAGUUACUUUCUCUUAGACUAAUGUGGGUUACUGACAGAGUGUAAGAGAUGUGUAAUUCCUACACACAAAAUGUGUUGGUUUUCUGUUAACUCUGCGGUUAUAGGACCAAAUCGAUGGUAGUUUCAGGAGUAGAACACUAUUCUAGAAUGAGUUAGUGUGGCAAAUUAAA
Molecule: long non-coding RNA, 962 nt
Organism: Papaver somniferum (opium poppy)
Lineage: Eukaryota; Viridiplantae; Streptophyta; Magnoliopsida; Ranunculales; Papaveraceae
Exons: 3
Source: RefSeq, a predicted model, not a curated record